CAACUCGCCUACAUGAAGCCGGAAUCGCUAGUAAUCGCGGAUCAGAACGCCGCGGUGAAUACGUUCCCGGGUCUUGUACACACCGCCCGUCACACCACGAGAGUUUGUAACACCCGAAGCCGGUGAGGUAACCUUUUAGGAGCCAGCCGUCUAAGGUGGGAUAGAUAAUUGGGGUGAAGUCGUAACAAGGUAGCCGUAUCGGAAGGUGCGGCUGGAUCACCUCCUAA
RNAcentral lists this ribosomal RNA (227 nucleotides) under Carnobacterium divergens. RNAcentral's name for it is "partial 16S ribosomal RNA". It matches the Rfam family "Bacterial small subunit ribosomal RNA", at positions 1308 to 1533 of the family's 1533-position model. The record is from RNAcentral. Lineage: Bacteria; Bacillati; Bacillota; Bacilli; Lactobacillales; Carnobacteriaceae.